Molecule: ribosomal RNA, 489 nt
Filed under: uncultured bacterium
Lineage: Bacteria
Description: partial 16S ribosomal RNA
Rfam family: Bacterial small subunit ribosomal RNA
Source: RNAcentral
AGUGAACGCUGGCGGUAGGCCUAACACAUGCAAGUCGAACGGCAGCACAGUAAGAGCUUGCUCUUACGGGUGGCGAGUGGCGGACGGGUGAGGCAUACAUCGGAAUCUACUUUUUCGUGGGGGAUAACGUAGGGAAACUUACGCUAAUACCGCAUACGACCUACGGGUGAAAGCAGGGGAUCUUCGGACCUUGCGCGAUUGAAUGAGCCGAUGUCGGAUUAGCUAGUUGGCGGGGUAAAGGCCCACCAAGGCGACGAUCCGUAGCUGGUCUGAGAGGAUGAGCAGCCACACUGGAACUGAGACACGGUCCAGACUCCGACGGGAGGCAGCAGUGGGGAAUAUUGGACAAUGGGCGCAAGCCUGAUCCAGCCAUACCGCGUGGGUGAAGAAGGCCUUCGGGUUGUAAAGCCCUUUUGGUGGGAAAGAAAAGCAGCAGGUUAAUACCCCGCUGUUCUGACGGUACCCAAAGAAUAAGCACCGGCUAACUUC